UGGCUCAGAUUGAACGCUGGCGGCAGGCCUAACACAUGCAAGUCGAACGGUAACAGGAAGUGCUUGCACUUCGCUGACGAGUGGCGGACGGGUGAGUAAUGCUUGGGAACUUGCCUUUGCGAGGGGGAUAACAGUUGGAAACGACUGCUAAUACCGCAUAAUGUCUUCGGACCAAACGGGGCUUAGGCUCCGGCGCAAAGAGAGGCCCAAGUGAGAUUAGCUAGUUGGUAAGGUAAAGGCUUACCAAGGCAACGAUCUCUAGCUGUUCUGAGAGGAAGAUCAGCCACACUGGGACUGAGACACGGCCCAGACUCCUACGGGAGGCAGCAGUGGGGAAUAUUGCACAAUGGGGGAAACCCUGAUGCAGCCAUGCCGCGUGUGUGAAGAAGGCCUUCGGGUUGUAAAGCACUUUCAGUUGUGAGGAAAAGUUAGUAGUUAAUACC
RNAcentral lists this ribosomal RNA (443 nucleotides) under HMWdDNA-degrading marine bacterium 2. RNAcentral's name for it is "bacterial SSU rRNA". It matches the Rfam family "Bacterial small subunit ribosomal RNA", at positions 20 to 468 of the family's 1533-position model. The record is from RNAcentral. RNAcentral also lists the same sequence under 1 other name.